Molecule: non-coding RNA, 67 nt
Organism: Bombyx mori (domestic silkworm)
Lineage: Eukaryota; Metazoa; Arthropoda; Insecta; Lepidoptera; Bombycidae
Source: Rfam
ACAACAUUCGGACCGUCGGUCUACCGAGCAAUAUCACCCGCUCGGUGUAAGAUCUUCCCUUUGUCGU